RNAcentral lists this non-coding RNA (21 nucleotides) under Caenorhabditis elegans. Lineage: Eukaryota; Metazoa; Nematoda; Chromadorea; Rhabditida; Rhabditidae. The record is from RNAcentral.
UUAUUCGGUUUUCCCAGCAUC